RNAcentral lists this ribosomal RNA (254 nucleotides) under uncultured bacterium. RNAcentral describes it as "partial 16S ribosomal RNA". It matches the Rfam family "Bacterial small subunit ribosomal RNA", at positions 524 to 776 of the family's 1533-position model. The record is from RNAcentral.
UACGGGGGGAGCAAGCGUUGUUCGGAUUUACUGGGCGUAAAGGGCGCGUAGGCGGCCAGCACAAGUCAGUUGUGAAAUCUCCGGGCUUAACUCGGAAAGGUCAACUGAUACUGUGCGGCUAGAGUGCAGAAGGGGCAACUGGAAUUCUCGGUGUAGCGGUGAAAUGCGUAGAUAUCGAGAGGAACACCAGUGGCGAAGGCGACUACCUGGCCUGUUCUUGACGCUGAGGCGCGAAAGCUAGGGGAGCAAACGGG